RNAcentral lists this ribosomal RNA (490 nucleotides) under uncultured bacterium. Its description in RNAcentral is "partial 16S ribosomal RNA". It matches the Rfam family "Bacterial small subunit ribosomal RNA", at positions 30 to 507 of the family's 1533-position model. The record is from RNAcentral.
AUUGAACGCUGGCGGCAGGCCUAACACAUGCAAGUCGAACGGUAACAGGAAGCAGCUUGCUGCUUUGCUGACGAGUGGCGGACGGGUGAGUAAUGUCUGGGAAACUGCCCGAUGGAGGGGGAUAACUACUGGAAACGGUAGCUAAUACCGCAUAACGUCGCAAGACCAAAGAGGGGGACCUUAGGGCCUCUUGCCAUCGGAUGUGCCCAGAUGGGAUUAGCUAGUAGGUGGGGUAACGGCUCACCUAGACGACGAUCCCUAGCUGGUCUGAGAGGAUGACCAGCCACACUGGAACUGAGACACGGUCCAGACUCCUACGGGAGGCAGCAGUGGGGAAUAUUGCACAAUGGGCGCAAGCCUGAUGCAGCCAUGCCGCGUGUAUGAAGAAGGCCUUCGGGUUGUAAAGUACUUUCAGCGGGGAGGAAGGGAGUAAAGUUAAUACCUUUGCUCAUUGACGUUACCCGCAGAAGAAGCACCGGCUAACUCCGUG